CGCUGAACUUAAGCAUAUCAAUAAGCGGAGGAAAAGAAACUAACAAGGAUUCCCCUAGUAACGGCGAGUGAAGCGGGAAGAGCUCAAGCUUAAAAUCUCCGUGCAAGUUUUGCGCGGCGAAUUGUAGUCUAUAGAGGCGUGGUCAGCGUGGGCGCUUGGGGCAAGUUCCUUGGAAGAGGACAGCAUGGAGGGUGAUACUCCCGUUCAUCCCUGAGUGGCUCGUGCGUACGACCCGUGUUCUUUGAGUCGCGUUGUUUGGGAAUGCAGCGCAAAGUAGGUGGUAAAUUCCAUCUAAAGCUAAAUAUUGGUGCGAGACCGAUAGCGAACAAGUACCGUGAGGGAAAGAUGAAAAGAACUUUGAAAAGAGAGUUAAAGAGUACCUGAAACUGCUGAAAGGGAACCGAAUCGUUUCCAGUGUCUAUAAUCCGUGGCAUAUUUCAUUGGCGAGUGUGCGCGUGCGUGUGCUGUGGCAGUGGCUUUUUUGGCUGCGCUCGGUGCGUGUGCUGUGUGUGCUUGCUGGUGCCCUGUGCUGCGGUGGGACGUCAAGGUCAGUUCGUAUGCUGCGGGAAAUGGCUGCCGAGGAGGUAGGGCUUACGCUCCGCGUUUGUCUGUUAUAUCUUGGUGGACGAGUCGUCGUGGUUGGGACUGAGGUGCCUACAACGUGCUUUUGAGUGGGUUCGUGUCUCCGUGUGCGCCGUGUGCGGAUAGCUUGCUAUGCGUGUGUGGUUGUGCGUGGAUUGGUGCGGGCUUUAACUUGUCGCCGUUCGGGACGUUGACGAAAUGGAGCGAUCCGACCCGUCUUGAAACACGGACCAAGGAGUCUAACAUGUGUGCAAGUGUUAGGGUGUGGAAACCCCAGCGCGAAAUGAAAGUGAAGGGCAGCGCAAGUUGUCUGAGGUAGGAAACGUUGCGGGCUUCGGUCUGCGGCGUGGCACUAUCGACCGAUCAUGAACCUUCGUGGUGAAAGAUUUGAGUUUGAGCACAUAUGUUGGUACCCGAAAGAUGGUGAACUAUGCCUGAGUAGGGUGAAGCCAGGGGAAACUCUGGUGGAAGCUCGUAGCGAUUCUGACGUGCAAAUCGAUCGUCAAACUUGGGUAUAGGGGCGAAAGACUAAUCGAACCAUCUAGUAGCUGGUUCCCUCCGAAAUUUCCCUCAGGAUAGCAGCAACUUAUUUACGAUAGUUUUAUGAGGUAAAGCGAAUGAUUAGAGGAUUCGGGGAAGAAACUUCCUCGACCUAUUCUCAAACUUUAAAUCUGUAAGACCUGCAGGUUUCUUAAUUGAACUUGUGGAUGUGAAUAUCAAGUUGCUAGUGGGCCAUACGGGGUAAGCUCGUCUGGCG
This 1339-nucleotide ribosomal RNA is filed under the name Phytophthora cinnamomi. RNAcentral describes it as "eukaryotic LSU rRNA". It matches the Rfam family "Eukaryotic large subunit ribosomal RNA", at positions 26 to 1155 of the family's 3401-position model. The record is from RNAcentral. Lineage: Eukaryota; Oomycota; Peronosporomycetes; Peronosporales; Peronosporaceae.